This is a non-coding RNA of Acanthosepion pharaonis, 113 nucleotides long. The record is from the annotation of a GenBank genome assembly. NCBI's taxonomy places the organism in Eukaryota, Metazoa, Mollusca, Cephalopoda, Sepiida, Sepiidae.
CUACGAUCACAUCAUGUUGAAAGACCGGUUCCCGUAUAAUCACCGAAGUUAAGCAGCGACGAGCCCGGUCAGUACCUAGAUGGGUGACCACUUAGGAAUACCCGGUGUUGUGA